GAUGAACGCUAGCGAUAGGCUUAACACAUGCAAGUCGAGGGGCAGCGAGGGUAGCAAUACCUGUCGGCGACCGGCGCACGGGUGAGUAACGCGUAUGUAACCUGCCCGCAACAGGGGGAUAACCCGGCGAAAGUCGGACUAAUACCGCAUAAAACAGGGGUCCCGCAUGGGAAUAUUUGUUAAAGAUUUAUCGGUUGCGGAUGGGCAUGCGUACCAUUAGGUAGUUGGUGAGGUAACGGCUCACCAAGCCUUCGAUGGUUAGGGGUUCUGAGAGGAAGGUCCCCCACACUGGUACUGAGACACGGACCAGACUCCUACGGGAGGCAGCAGUGAGGAAGAUUGGUCAAUGGGCGAGAGCCUGAACCAGCCAAGUCGCGUGAAGGAUGACUGCCCUAUGGGUUGUAAACUUCUUUUACAAGGGAAUAAAAUGAGAUACGUGUAUUUUAUUGCAUGUACCUUGGGAAUAAGCAUCGGCUAACUCCGUG
Molecule: ribosomal RNA, 485 nt
Filed under: uncultured bacterium
Lineage: Bacteria
Description: partial 16S ribosomal RNA
Rfam family: Bacterial small subunit ribosomal RNA
Source: RNAcentral